This is a long non-coding RNA of Oreochromis niloticus (Nile tilapia), 3966 nucleotides long. Lineage: Eukaryota; Metazoa; Chordata; Actinopteri; Cichliformes; Cichlidae. The record is from Ensembl.
AUAACGAUGUAGAUGGAGAGACGGUAGACUGUGGACUCACUGAGACCAUGGUUGCAUAUCUUUUUGACAAGUCUUUCAAAAAGCAGCUGAAGUUCAGAGACUUCACAAACCGCUACAAGGAAGUCAUCAUCACUUUACAACCGGUCGACCCAUUUGAAGGUACAGUUGAAGGUCCAGUGUCCCAAGCAAACCAGAGUUCUAUACCUUCUUGCCUGCAGUCAUUUCCAUUCCAAAAUUCCCACAAGAUGUCCAGAGUCGCUUGGAUCUCAAAGAACCAGUCCAGAAAGAACAGAAGUACCGAAACAAAAUAAUUGGGACUCUUUAUGAAAUGCUGUCACAGUACACAAUGUACCCAACCCACUCAGACUACAUCCAGGUCAUCAAAGCCCUGAUUGUGAAGUAUCCUUUCUUAAGAGAUGUACACGGAAAUGGUUAUGACACCUGGCACAGCCAACUCAAGAGAAAGUUCAAAGCAGAACGGGCUCCCUUAAUCAGCAACGAAGAAGUGAACCGGGUUAAAGAAAAGUUUGGACGCACGCAGAAACAUCGGACCACAGAGGAAUCCAGCAGCUCCUGUCUGAAGAGACUGAAGCCCUCUCUCGAUUCGUGCUUUGUGGGGGAAGAUGCAGCCUCCGUUGAUGCUCAUAUCAAGGUGCUAAAUGAUCAGCACAGGACGCUACAUCCUGACACAGCACUGGUGAAAGACCGCAUGACAAAAACCUUUGCAUGGAGACGUCAAGAGGUAGCUGAAGGAAUGUGUACUGUGGACCUAUUAAAGAGAUAUCCAUUCCUGGGGACAUCUGCAGGGUUGUGUGAUGAGGUUGAUUUAAUGCAUCCCUGCCAAGACAACAUCUGUUGCCGCUUUAGCGAGAACUUCACUGCUGUUCUUCAAAAUGUUCUUCAAAUGACCAAGGAUUUGCCACUGAAGAAGGUCUACAUGGAGGCAAGAGAGAAUGCACUGGCUGAAGACAUUACAGGAAUUGACUUCAAGGGGGCACUUCUCCUCUUGCCAUCCAUCUUCAAGGAGAAGAUAGAAGAUUUCAUCAUCCUUGGAGAGGUAAAUGCAUGAUGCAAUGCAUAGCCUUUGGCCACAAGUUUCAUUCUCGGUGUUUUGUUGGCAUGGAGCUGAAUUCAGCUGCGGUUCAGCAUCACAGCUAAGCUAAUGUAGGGGAAACACUGCUGUUAAUCCACAGACUUACAGAAUGCUCUGGAAAUGAACAAAAGUUUUACAGAUGUGCAUUUUCAGAAUAAAGUGCUUCAGCGUGUGUCUGCUAUAUCUGUCAGCAGUGUCAAAUAUGAACUUGAGGAUGUUUUUGUAGUUGGCCAUGUACACACUGAAGCCAUACCUAUAUUCUUUAAAAUCAAGUAUAUUUUGAAUGUUGAUACUUGUUGGGUAUUGUGUGGGAAACUGUUACUUCCUUGCACUUAUGAAUGUCAGUUCCAUGCUUACCAAGUGGCAGUUCACAAUGACUGGAUCCUGUUCAAUCCAGGAAAUGAAUUAGACUUUCAAGCUCUAGACACCUAUUUAGUUGAUGAUAGGCUGUUUGUGUCCUUGAGGUAUUAUGUGUGACGUGAUUGCAAGCACAUUUUCCACUUUGUCUAUAUAUAUGACAUAUAUAUAUUCUGGCUUGUUGAAGUAGAGCAAAACAUUUGUGUGGACAGUUUUUUAAAUACAUGCCAUCUCUGUGAUCCGUCAAAAACAUUGUGUUCAGGUGUUUAAUGUCUUUAUGUGAUUGUUUACUUUUUUAAAUGAAUGUAUUUUUCUUGACAUGUCCUAUGGCAAUAUAAGAAUGUAAUCAAGGAUGUAUUCCUGUGGUUGUUUAAAUGCUUUGAUGUGAUUCUAUUAUCGAAAAUAAAUGGUUAAAUAACCAAAUAUUUUGGACUAUUGGGGGUACAUUUUUGUCUCUUUAGGUACGAAAUAGGUUGUCGCUGGGGGGGUACCCUCAUAGGUACCCUAUUGUACCCUUUUCAAGGGAACAUUUCUGUACUAUAGUUUGAAGGUACAUUUAUGUCUUAGGAAAGUACAUGAUUGUACUUCAGAUGGUACAACUUCAUAAGGUACAAAAAUGUACCACGCCUAAAGGGUACAGAAAUGUCCUUCAAAAAGGAACACCCCCAGCGACAAGCAUUUGUACCCUUUUUGGUACACUUUGGUACCCCUAUUUCUGAGAGUGCAUCUAUACUGUCCAGUCUCUCCUGGUGGACAUGGCAUCACGUUAUUCAUGGUUACAUACAAUUUUAGACUGAUGUGGACCAAAGCCUAAAACGAUGUGCCAGGAGUUUGCUGUUCUCACCGGCUCAGAUAUUUGAAGUUUACACAGCUACAUUCUCGCCUGAAAAUAUGUUAAACGUUUAUUUUGCGACCCAGAAACAGUAGAGUAAUAUCAAAACUAAGUAGCUGCAGUAGUAUUAGCUAUUGCUGGAAACUGGAAUUGGCUGUGCCAAUCUGAGAUAUGGUUUUUCAAUUUUGUUGUCCGGGUGGAAAAACGGGGGAAAUUCGGGAGAAUGGUGGCUCCGGGAGAUUUUCGGGAGGGGCACUGAAAUUCGGGAUUCUCACGGAAAAAUCGGGAGGGUUGGCAUGUAUGGCCUAGAUUAGCCUGUAACGUUAUUAUGAUGGACACAUUUUAUGACUGAACUUGACUUUAAGUGACUUACAGGUUUCUUUGAAAAAUACUUUGUUAUAUCCAGGUUCUUCCUUUUUGCUGCCAUCCUCCUCUCCUCCCUGCAGGUCCUCACAGCGCAGGCUUGCCGCUGCUAAAACUAAACAGAGCUCCUUGAAAGGCACAGCCAAUCACAUUGGCCAUAUUUGUCACAUGAGGUAAGACUCCAGUAGAGAACGUAAUUUAACUCUUUCUGCACUGCUAGGUGAAUGAAACGUUGACAGAUCGUUUGUUUUUUUUCUUUCUAUCGGUUUUGUUUUUCUUUACUCGAAGAGAUCAAAUUAUUGGUGGGGACAAUUCAAUAAUUACUGGAUAUUGGUGGGGACAUGUCCGUCUAUGCCAAAUCUACGCCCUUGGUUGGAGCAGCCUUUCAAUGCCUCUCUCUGUCUCUCAGACAGUAAAGCUCGUUCCCGGCCACGAGCCCGACACGGAACCCAAAGUAUUAGCCAGAGGUCUCCUUACCACUUUUCAGAGCCGCGGACCUGGCCGAGGUAACAAGAGAGUGCAAACAUGGUUAGGGCUGUGUUAGUUCAGUGAGAGAUUUAUUUGGAAAGAAAACUAUUUUUACUUGCAGAUGAAAACUAAUGUGUACGCUUAUGCCUGCAUUUUUAUUUUGUUAAAUACAAACAAAAUUGUAGCAAAAGUGCUGGAAAGUGUCUGGCCAGAAAGAGCUGUUUAUUUGGUAGUUCAAUGAAACUACUGUACUAUACUGCUGAGUGACUGUCUGCUGCUCAUUAAAUACAUUUCAUUGCAAUGUUGACCCUGUGCUAACUUGCAUAUGACAAAUAAAACUGAAGCGGAAAGGCUUCAGAUAGUUAAGAGUGAGAAAAAAAAUUGCGUUCAUGUUUGCAAUUUUGUCUUGUUACACAAUAUUUAGAAUUAAAUAAAACAAACAAAACACUACAUUUUAGGAAAUAUUAGAGGAUGUUUUCGUGUUUGUUUUUUUGUACUACUUGGACACUAAAGUGGCCCUCCAAUGAGAUGACGGUGCCAGAAGUGGCCCACGGCUCAUUUGAGUUUGAGACCCCUGCUCUAGGGGAGGGGCAUUAGAAACCUCAGGAUGAAGGUUUACUGGAUCCUCUUUCCUACUGAAACACCUAUUUCACCUGAGAUUAAGCUAGAAGCUUAAAAUAACAUUUACAUAAUGCAAAAUACUGUCAGACUCUGUGAAAUACAAAUGAUCAGUUACUUAGUUUAACAAUUAACACUUGCUAAGCAGAAAUUCUAAACAGAAUCAGAUGCUGAAUGUUACAGGAACCCACUUAUCUGUGGUGGUCACUGAAUGCUGUUGUAUUUUCUGUUGUUG